This is a non-coding RNA of Physcomitrium patens, 2121 nucleotides long. The record is from RefSeq and is a predicted model, not a curated record. NCBI's taxonomy places the organism in Eukaryota, Viridiplantae, Streptophyta, Bryopsida, Funariales, Funariaceae.
AGAGAGAAAGAGAGAGCGAGAGUUGAAUUGCACCAAUAUCGCGUUGGUGGGUCUUUGUUUGUUUGGUGGGUUAGUAGUAGUACUAGUAAUUAGGUGAGAUCUGCCCACCGGGUGGCCCACCGUCCCGCCCCGCCUUGCAACGAUUCUCUGUCGUCGUCGUCGUCGUCUUGACGUGGGCCAAGUUCGUUGCUCCGGCUUGGGCUCCGAGAGUUUCAACUGCAAAGCCACUCUUGGAGACCUGCAGAGAUUAUCCUCCUUAAUGGACCGAUUUGGUAACUGAGUAGUAGUAGUAGUCGUAGUAAUGGUAUAUACGUAAAUAUAAAGUAUGCUUCUAAUUUAGGAAUCGACAUCAGAAACUCAUACUUGGCAUAUGUUAAUAAAUGUUUGCUGUUUGUAAUUAGCUACAAGGUUGUCUCGUUUUUAAAGUGUAAAGGUAAAAUCUUCCAUGAUUGUGGUAUGCUUAUUACAUUGGCAGAAUACAAUGUAAUGCAUGAUUGAGAUUUUUCUUUUUCUUUUUUAGAGAUAUUUUGAGAAAUAGGGAAAUGGAGGAGGAGGAGGGACUUUCGCAGAGAAUCGGGGAUGGGGGGAAGGGGGGCUGUGAAGUGGUGGAGCUGUGGUGUUGGUGGUGUGGUGUGUGCAGGAGCUGCGUCUCGCAUGGGCCGGGGGGUCGAAAUUCUCGGGCACUUUCGAGUACUUUCGAGGAAUUCCGCCGGGCAACAGCAGCAGGAUUACUGCAGUUUUGCGUGCGGAAGCAUCCUACCGGACGGAAUCGCCACGCUUCCGUCUCCUCUUUCUGAUCUGUAACGGCGUGUUCGGGGAAAUCGCUGUAGGGAGGAGGUGUUGGAUAUGCUUGUCCAGCUUAUUUAGCCGUACGUAGUUCCAGUCUGGGGUUUUGAGAAAGUUGCAGUAAUGGUGUUUCGAUGGACUUCUGUUUAGAUUGGUGGCAUCAUUGCUGUCGGGCGAUGCGGUUUCUUGUUCGACCAUUGCAGUUGCUUUUAGACGCCAAUGCUUGGCAUGAAUGUCUUGAGUGUCUGGUAGCCUAAAACAGAGAGAUGAUGCAAUUGGUAUGUGGAUCUUCUCUGGUUUUAGAGGAAUCGUUCGCUGGCCUCCAGGUUCGAGACAAUCGUGCCAAGCUUUGUGCUUUCAAGAGCCUUAAUGGUUUUGGACGAUGGGUUCUACUGGAUCUCUAACAUCAAAGAUGUAUUGUCUUGAGAUAACCUGGUCAAAACAUUUGACGCAAGGAGGUGCAUCUGAAGUCCUGGUGGUAUUGUUGCUUUUCUUAGACCAUAACAUCUCUUGCUGCUUAUAUUUGUAUCCCUUUGCAGAGUUGAUGGACACCGAAACGGAUCAGGCGAGGGUGUAGGUCCGAUGCAUGCAACUAUAACACUGUCCUUAGCGUGUUCCCUGAAGCGGAGUAGAGUUUUAUGUGUUUGCCCCGUUGCAUGGAGAUGAUCAGGAAUGCUCACAUUGGUUUCCUCUGCUUCAGAAAUUGUAGCUUCUCAGUUUCGGAGACGUCUUAUAUGAUUCUUUUUAACCAGAGACUGGUUGGAGGGCAAUUGGUUACGCCGGACUCUAAUGAAGAGUGCAGAGUUAGUAUCUGCAGUGGAGUGGUGUUGCCGACUUUCCUGCACCCGGAUAUACGGUGCAAGUCUCUUCUUUACCAGUCCAGCACCGACAGUUUGACGACGCACUAGUUUUGAGUUUGCCUCUACUGCACAUUCUUGUUUAUCGGUGUAGCUCAUGAGUUAUCCUCAGGACGACGCUGGUAGCAGAAGACACUGUUAGAGUGAUUACAGGUAGUCUAGGCUUGUUUUAGGUACAAAAGAAUCAUAGCUCCCGUACAUUGGCUUCUAUGUCUUAGUUUUCAUAUCUCUAGAAAGCACUCCAUCUGCUGCUCCGUUGUACUGCGGAGUGCGAGUUUAAAGAUUUUUGUCGGGGUUGCAGCCUUUGAAUCUUAUAGAUGUUUGGUCACAUUCUACGAACUGGGCUUAUGAAAUUCUCUCUUCUUUGUUUGCUUCCUUCCUUACAGUAGAGUAGAGUCAUGAUCUUAUGCACAUACCCGAAACUCCCGAAACUGAACUGUGUGCCGACACCAAACUCAAUCAUGGAUUCAAAGUUGAA